UGAGGAAUAUUGGUCAAUGGGCGAGAGCCUGAACCAGCCAAGUAGCGUGCAGGAUGACGGCCCUAUGGGUUGUAAACUGCUUUUAUAUGGGAAUAAAGUGAGGGACGUGUCCCUUAUUGCAUGUACCAUAUGAAUAAGGACCGGCUAAUUCCGUGCCAGCAGCCGCGGUAAUACGGAAGGUUCGGGCGUUAUCCGGAUUUAUUGGGUUUAAAGGGAGCGUAGGCCGUUUGGUAAGCGUGUGGUGAAAUGUAGGAGCUCAACUUCUAGAUUGCAGCGCGAACUGUCAGACUUGAGUGCGCACAACGUAGGCGGAAUUCAUGGUGUAGCGGUGAAAUGCUUAGAUAUCAUGAAGAACACCGAUUGCGAAGGCAGCUUACGGGAGCGCAACUGACGCUGAAGCUCGAAGGUGCGGGUAUCGAACAGG
RNAcentral lists this ribosomal RNA (424 nucleotides) under Verrucomicrobiota bacterium. Its description in RNAcentral is "Verrucomicrobia bacterium partial 16S ribosomal RNA". It matches the Rfam family "Bacterial small subunit ribosomal RNA", at positions 355 to 776 of the family's 1533-position model. The record is from RNAcentral. Lineage: Bacteria; Pseudomonadati; Verrucomicrobiota.